RNAcentral lists this ribosomal RNA (766 nucleotides) under Staphylococcus aureus. RNAcentral describes it as "bacterial SSU rRNA". It matches the Rfam family "Bacterial small subunit ribosomal RNA", at positions 28 to 776 of the family's 1533-position model. Lineage: Bacteria; Bacillati; Bacillota; Bacilli; Caryophanales; Staphylococcaceae. The record is from RNAcentral.
GAUGAACGCUGGCGGCGUGCCUAAUACAUGCAAGUCGAGCGAACGGACGAGAAGCUUGCUUCUCUGAUGUUAGCGGCGGACGGGUGAGUAACACGUGGAUAACCUACCUAUAAGACUGGGAUAACUUCGGGAAACCGGAGCUAAUACCGGAUAAUAUUUUGAACCGCAUGGUUCAAAAGUGAAAGACGGUCUUGCUGUCACUUAUAGAUGGAUCCGCGCUGCAUUAGCUAGUUGGUAAGGUAACGGCUUACCAAGGCAACGACGCAUAGCCGACCUGAGAGGGUGAUCGGCCACACUGGAACUGAGACACGGUCCAGACUCCUACGGGAGGCAGCAGUAGGGAAUCUUCCGCAAUGGGCGAAAGCCUGACGGAGCAACGCCGCGUGAGUGAUGAAGGUCUUCGGAUCGUAAAACUCUGUUAUUAGGGAAGAACAUAUGUGUAAGUAACUGUGCACAUCUUGACGGUACCUAAUCAGAAAGCCACGGCUAACUACGUGCCAGCAGCCGCGGUAAUACGUAGGUGGCAAGCGUUAUCCGGAAUUAUUGGGCGUAAAGCGCGCGUAGGCGGUUUUUUAAGUCUGAUGUGAAAGCCCACGGCUCAACCGUGGAGGGUCAUUGGAAACUGGAAAACUUGAGUGCAGAAGAGGAAAGUGGAAUUCCAUGUGUAGCGGUGAAAUGCGCAGAGAUAUGGAGGAACACCAGUGGCGAAGGCGACUUUCUGGUCUGUAACUGACGCUGAUGUGCGAAAGCGUGGGGAUCAAACAGG